AUUUGAGAGAGAGUAUAGAGAGGUAACCAAGUAGGAGUUUUCCAUAACUCCGGCGAAAUUCUUGAUGGCUUUCAACGGAUCCUUUCUCGAUAUAUUCAUUGUCAUUCUCGUGGACGACGGUGCAUGAUCCGGUGUGCCACAAAUCUGAACUCAAUAACAAGAACACUUUAUUAGUGGUGUUGAAGAAGCUUUGGGUCUUUUUUUUGUUCGAUUUUACACUUUGAGAGUUUAUUAUUCGGCAUUGUAGUUGUAAUAAUCUUUUGUAUACUACACUUUAAACUCUAAACCACUCAUAAUCAUGUUUAUGGAUUAUGACUAACUUGGCUUUGUGCAUUGCUAGUAAUGUUUAGCAAUGAUAUUAUUAGUGUCUCCUUAUAAUAAGUUGCUUACCUAUUAUAUGCAGUAUGAUUGAGUGCUGCAGAUAUAAAUCCAGUUGGAAGUAUCAGCAAGCAGGAGCUUCGAAUGUUUUUGCAAUAGGCUGCUAUCCAUCUUGGUUUCUCAUCAUUUACAGAAGUUGAAGCUGCUCCUCCCACUGCUGAAUUGGAACCUAUACGAUCCAACUACAGCCAGGUAUGCUAGAAUAAUUCUAAAAUAUGGGCUUCCCAUUUUAUUGCAAAUUUUACGGGUUAAAUGCAUGGUUCAUAAUGAUACUAUUUUUAAGUUCAAUAUGUUAAAUGAUCACUUAGGCCAUUUUACACCUUACAUGUUAUAUUUUAUUUAAUGUGGUAAUUUAAGUAUGUGGGUUGAUAAGUGUGCUUUUAUGUACUUAUUUAAUUCACAAACAUGACUAAAUUAUGAGCAAAGUGUUUGAAUUGUGAUUUAAUUUCGUUUGAUUUGUAUAUCAUAGGUUAUAUUGAUGGACAUGUUGGAAUCCACGAGAAAAGAUUCGAAAAGGACCAAAAAGGAAGAAAAACGAAAGUCUAGGGACUAAAGUGCAAUUAUCAAAAAUAUGACCCGAGGGAGAAAUCGAGGAUUUGAUUGAGCCAAGUGUCAAUUGGAGGCCACUAUUGAUGUAUGGAAUGAAAAAAAAAACGAAGGAACGAGAUCAAAAUUGAAGAAAACAAGUUCGAGGACCAAACCUUGAAAAAAUGGAAGUUAGAGCUACUAUGCGGUCGCAUAGUAGCAUUAGCCAUGCUGUCGCAUGGCCCAUGGCAGGGAAUUAUUUGGCCAAUUUUUGAUCAACUAUGCGAUCACAUAGCUUAGUGCCGUGAGGUCACAUAGUGAAAAACUGGGGGCCGACUUUGCAGUUUCCUAUUUUCCAUAAAACUCUUUUUGGAACUUAAUUGGGACGUGAUAUAAAAAUCUAGAGUCAUCAUAUUUCGAGGGAGAACGCAUUGAGAGGUAAGAAAACGCAUCUUGGAGAAGAUUUUGAGCGAGAGUAAUGAAUGAUUUCAUAAAGAUCAUCGAGAUUUCAUGCGAAUUCAUAACCCGACGAUAUUUUAUCUUCAAGCCAAUAUGUAUUCUAUUAUUUUCUUCAUGUUAGGCUAAAUAUUUUUAUGCUAGGAGAUCAAUGAACCUUGUGAU
This 1524-nucleotide long non-coding RNA is filed under the name Olea europaea subsp. europaea. Lineage: Eukaryota; Viridiplantae; Streptophyta; Magnoliopsida; Lamiales; Oleaceae. The record is from RNAcentral.